CCCUUAGAUGUUCUGGGCCGCACGCGCGCUACACUGACGAUGGCAACGAGUUUUUCCUUCGCCGAAAGGUGUGGGUAAUCUUUUGAAACAUCGUCGUGCUGGGGAUAGAUCAUUGCAAUUUUUGAUCUUGAACGAGGAAUUCCUAGUAAGCGCGAGUCAUCAGCUCGCGUUGAUUACGUCCCUGCCCUUUGUACACACCGCCCGUCGCUCCUACCGAUUGAAUGUGUUGGUGAGGAGCUCGGAUUGGCAGCAGUUGGUGGUUCGCCACCGGCUAUUGCUGAGAAGUCCUCCAAACCGCCCCAUUUAGAGGAAGGAGAAGUCGUAACA
This 327-nucleotide ribosomal RNA is filed under the name uncultured eukaryote. RNAcentral describes it as "partial 18S ribosomal RNA". It matches the Rfam family "Eukaryotic small subunit ribosomal RNA", at positions 1470 to 1796 of the family's 1831-position model. The record is from RNAcentral.